UGGGGCAGCCUGCAGGGGCAGCAGCUCCUGCCUUCUCUGCAGCUCCGCGGCCAGGGGUGGAAGGAAACUGCAGCCGCAGCCCCAAGUCAGCCCCCGCUGCCCUGUCCCACCGUCUCAUCUCUCCCCCCUCGGUAGUGGAGUACAGUUUUAACAGCCUGAACACUGGAAACCAGUUGACUUCAAUGCCAGACAGUCAGUCAAGACAUGCUGAAUUGAAUGGAACAGCAAGAAAAUGGGUAUUAGAAAUCUACUUUAUCCAAUAUCUGCAAAAUUAAUUUGACGGAGGUUCUGAAUUCCUUACAGGCCAUUCUUCCUCUUUUCCACCCAUUUUGGGCUGCAAGCACUGAGUUGGAGACACAAUAUUUUAAAUGUGGAAGUGGAAAAGAGAAGUAGCAAGUGCUGGGGCCAGAGCAUUACUCUAAAGUCCUUGUGUUCCCUGCUCUGCCUCGCAGUUUUCAACAAGAUCUUGCAUGGAAACGGAGAAAUUGAAGAUACCUGUUGCAUUCAUAGCUUGCAAGAUAUGUUGUGAAAAUUACAAAGGAAUUCAAUCAGGAGAUGAAUGUGGAAUACGAACUUGAGCCAGCUGCUGAGAGGAAUUCAGAGUGCCUACAAACAAAUGGUGAACCUUGUUUUCUGAGACAAGAAUUGUGGAUGACACUGGGACAGGAUGAAGGUAAUCACUGAGACAUGAGGCAUACCUUUGCAUUAUUUCUGGAGUAGCUAUCUUUCAGCCCUGAGUUUCUGAUCUGUCAAA
Long non-coding RNA from Cavia porcellus (domestic guinea pig), 754 nucleotides. RefSeq lists it as uncharacterized. The transcript has 5 exons. Lineage: Eukaryota; Metazoa; Chordata; Mammalia; Rodentia; Caviidae. The record is from RefSeq and is a predicted model, not a curated record.